Molecule: long non-coding RNA, 275 nt
Filed under: Rattus norvegicus (Norway rat)
Lineage: Eukaryota; Metazoa; Chordata; Mammalia; Rodentia; Muridae
Description: long non-coding RNA NONRATT031976
Source: RNAcentral
UACACUAUGACUACAUAAUAAUUCUGUAUUUUAUGUAGUUCGCUCCACUUUGAAUUCCCUCUGUCUCACUACAGAUUAUGGAGACAAUUCACAAAGAGGAAGAUGCAAAUGUUCUCCUGGAAACCAUGGUGCUGAGAAACAGAGAAGAGGAAGAAUAUAUACACAGACGCCUUGAAAGACUCUUCAGUUCCUCAUAGUCACAGCACUGAUCUUUUUGCUCUCUGCCCUAACUUUUACUGAUGAUACCAAUGGAGGAUUUUUUUCAGGGAAAAAGG